AGAAUCAACGCUGGCGGCGUGCCUAACACAUGCAAGUCGCACGAGAAAGGGGAGCAAUCCCUGAGUACAGUGGCGCACGGGUGAGUAACACGUGAAUAAUCUACCUCCGAGUGGGGAAUAACUGAGAGAAAUCUUAGCUAAUACCGCAUAAUACCCACGGGUCAAAGCAGCAAUGCGCUUGGAGAGGAGUUCGCGGCAGAUUAGUUAGUUGGCGGGGUAAUGGCCCACCAAGACAAUGAUCUGUAUCCGGCCUGAGAGGGCGCACGGACACACUGGAACUGAAACACGGUCCAGACUCCUACGGGAGGCAGCAGUGGGGAAUUUUGCGCAAUGGGGGAAACCCUGACGCAGCAACGCCGCGUGGAGGAUGAAGCCCCUUGGGGUGUAAACUCCUUUCGAUCGGGAAGAUAAUGACGGUACCGAUAUAAGAAGCCCGGCUAACUUCGCGCCAGCAGCCGC
This 459-nucleotide ribosomal RNA is filed under the name uncultured bacterium. RNAcentral describes it as "SSU rRNA". It matches the Rfam family "Bacterial small subunit ribosomal RNA", at positions 26 to 518 of the family's 1533-position model. The record is from RNAcentral.